This 397-nucleotide ribosomal RNA is filed under the name uncultured bacterium. Its description in RNAcentral is "partial 16S ribosomal RNA". It matches the Rfam family "Bacterial small subunit ribosomal RNA", at positions 523 to 918 of the family's 1533-position model. The record is from RNAcentral.
AUACGUAGGGAGCGAGCGUUGUCCGGAAUUACUGGGUGUAAAGGGCGCGUAGGCGGCCCGGUAAGUCUGGAGUGAAAGUCCUGUUUUUAAGAUGGGAAUUGCUUUGGAUACUGUCGGGCUUGAGUGCAGGAGAGGUAAGUGGAAUUCCCAGUGUAGCGGUGAAAUGCGUAGAGAUUGGGAGGAACACCAGUGGCGAAGGCGACUUACCGGACUGUAACUGACGCUGAGGCGCGAAAGUGUGGGGAGCAAACAGGAUUAGAUACCCUGGUAGUCCACACUGUAAACGAUGAAUGCUAGGUGUAGGGGGUAUCGACCCCUUCUGUGCCGCAGUCAACACAAUAAGCAUUCCGCCUGGGGAGUACGGCCGCAAGGUUGAAACUCAAAGGAAUUGACGGGG